AGACCAAAUUUUAACCAUGCUUUCCACUGGCGUCAAUGUGGCGACAUCUAUGGUCACAUUUUUGAUGCUAUUAUACUUCAGUGGUGUUAAUAACGAAGCAUGGGAGAAAAAUGGUUUAAGAUGUAUCUCCAGCUGUUGAAAAUUGACGGAGAGACUUUUCUCUCUCUGUCGCUAUACAAUCUGAUAUAGUUGGUCAUGAUUCUUGCGACAUUC
Molecule: small nucleolar RNA, 213 nt
Filed under: Lachancea lanzarotensis
Lineage: Eukaryota; Fungi; Ascomycota; Saccharomycetes; Saccharomycetales; Saccharomycetaceae
Description: Small nucleolar RNA snR31
Rfam family: Small nucleolar RNA snR31
Source: Rfam by way of RNAcentral